RNAcentral lists this ribosomal RNA (321 nucleotides) under uncultured Pelotomaculum sp. RNAcentral's name for it is "bacterial SSU rRNA". It matches the Rfam family "Bacterial small subunit ribosomal RNA", at positions 1059 to 1382 of the family's 1533-position model. The record is from RNAcentral. Lineage: Bacteria; Bacillati; Bacillota; Clostridia; Eubacteriales; Desulfotomaculaceae.
CUCGUGUCGUGAGAUGUUGGGUUAAGUCCCGCAACGAGACGCAACCCUACGUUAGUUGCUAACGCGUGAAGGCGAGCACUCUAGACGAACUGCCGUUGACAAACGGAGGAAGGUGGGAUGACGUCAAAUCAUCAUGCCCUUAUGUUCUGGGCUACACACGUGCUACAAUGGCCGGUACAGACGGACGCAAAGCCGCGAGGUGGAGCAAAUCCGGAAAAAGCCGGUCUCAGUUCGGAUUGCAGGCUGCAAUUCGCCUGCAUGAAGUCGGAAUCGCUAGUAAUCGCAGGUCAGCAUACUGCGGUGAAUACGUUCCCGGGCCUU